UCCGAGUUGACCCCGGCAGUCUCCUGCGAGUCCCCAACUUUACUUGCUGGCAACACAGGACAAGGGUUGCGCUCGUUGCGGGACUUAACCCAACAUCUCACGACACGAGCUGACGACAGCCAUGCACCACCUGUACACCAACCACAAGGGGGGCUGUAUCUCUACAGCUUUCUGGUGUAUGUCAAACCCAGGUAAGGUUCUUCGCGUUGCAUCGAAUUAAACCACAUGCUCCGCUGCUUGUGCGGGUCCCCGUCAAUUCCUUUGAGUUUUAGCCUUGCGGCCGUACUCCCCAGGCGGGGCACUUAAUGCGUUAGCUUCGGCACGGAGGGAGUCGACACCCCCCACACCUAGUGCCCAUCGUUUACAGCGUGGACUAC
Molecule: unclassified non-coding RNA, 377 nt
Filed under: uncultured Actinomycetes bacterium
Lineage: Bacteria; Bacillati; Actinomycetota; Actinomycetes
Description: uncultured actinobacterium contains 16S-23S intergenic spacer region
Source: RNAcentral